Small nucleolar RNA from Scatophagus argus, 67 nucleotides. RefSeq annotates it as small nucleolar RNA U54. The record is from RefSeq and is a predicted model, not a curated record. The transcript has a single exon. NCBI's taxonomy places the organism in Eukaryota, Metazoa, Chordata, Actinopteri, Scatophagidae.
UGAGCUAUGAGGAUAAAAUUUACACCGGAUAAACUCUGACGACUGUAUACGCUAUUCUGAGCCAUGG